UAAUACGGAGGGUGCAAGCGUUAUCCGGAUUUACUGGGUUUAAAGGGUGUGUAGGCGGACUUUUAAGUCAGCGGUGAAAUCUCCGGGCUCAACCCGGAAACUGCCAUUGAUACUAUUGGUCUUGAAUGUUGUUGAGGUGGGCGGAACGGGUCAUGUAGCGGUGAAAUGCAUAGAUAUGACCCGGAACACCGAUUGCGAAGGCAGCCCACUAAGCAACGAUUGACGCUGAGGCACGAAAGCGUGGGGAUCAAACAGGAUUAGAUACCCUGGUAGUCCACGCCCUAAACGAUGAUUACUCGACGUUGGCGAUACACUGAUCAGCGUCCAAGCGAAAGCAUUAAGUAAUCCACCUGGGAAGUACGUUCGCAAGAAUG
This 374-nucleotide ribosomal RNA is filed under the name uncultured bacterium. RNAcentral's name for it is "bacterial SSU rRNA". It matches the Rfam family "Bacterial small subunit ribosomal RNA", at positions 521 to 896 of the family's 1533-position model. The record is from RNAcentral.